AAUUAUCAACCAUGUCUCGAUUGAUUUCGGGCGCAUGGCUUGGAUGUGGGGGUUGCUGGCCGUGAAAGCGGUCGGCUCUCCUUAAAUGCAUUAGCAAAAGGGGUGUGCUAUGGUCUUCUGGACGUGCACGGCCUUCGACGUGAUAAUGAUCGUCGUGGCUGGAGCGUCUGAUAAUAAGGCCAUGCACAGAGAGCCCGUUUUGCUUCUAAUGACAAGAUUCUCUCGUCUUAGUGGUCGGAAGCACUGCUAGCUAUUAGUCUACUAGCCUAUUAGCCUACUAGUCCAAUGGACGAACGGUGAAACAGUGAACGGCGAACGUGGCAAGGCGGAUGGGGAUAAGCUAGACUUGAGAUGAAAUAUAUAUUG
Molecule: unclassified non-coding RNA, 366 nt
Filed under: uncultured Boletus
Lineage: Eukaryota; Fungi; Basidiomycota; Agaricomycetes; Boletales; Boletaceae
Description: sequence contains ITS2
Source: RNAcentral